UAUUUUUCUGUACUUUCACAAUGACAAUAAAGUCCCCUAAAAGACGGUGGCAGAGGCUGUACUUUCGUGAACCCCUAUGUUUAAAGAAAUAUCGCAAUGCAGAACAAUACGCUAAAUUCUCAUCGUCGAUGCCUUUUUUUUAACAAAUAUUUUAAAUAGCAGAUUAGAGCUCCUUUUCUCCAUUUUAUUAUGUCACGUAAAAACAAAAAAAAAUAAUAACUUUUGAUAAAUUUAAUGUAUUGAUGCUCCCAUAUAUGAGUAUAUUUAAUAUGCUUUCAAUAUUUAAAAAGCCGGGACUGCAGCAAUUUGCUUCCAAUUUAAAAUACUGGGUAUUAUUAAUAAAAUAAAAUAGAUAAAAGAAAGUAUAAGAUGUCAUUUAACUGCUAAAACCUUUUUUGUACUAUAAAUUAUCACUUUUAGCCCAUGAAUCGAAUUCAUUAAACUGAUGGAUUUUACUAUUUGGUAAUCUCAUGCCAAUUAUUUGUUGGGAAAAAGCAAAAGCGAUAUCAAAUUUUAGGGGUUCAGGUUGCUUUCUUUAAGGGCGUAUAAAGA
This is a non-coding RNA of Schizosaccharomyces pombe (fission yeast), 552 nucleotides long. The record is from the annotation of a GenBank genome assembly. Lineage: Eukaryota; Fungi; Ascomycota; Schizosaccharomycetes; Schizosaccharomycetales; Schizosaccharomycetaceae.